UUUUCUUUCCAGAUCUAGGAUUUUAAUCCAAGUUUGUGAGUCUCCAAAACCCAAACUCUUUUCAGGCUGGUAUUGAAUGAGCUGCAGCCAUUUCUCCUGCUUGACCAUGUUACUCCACUCUGCUGGGAACCUUUGGAAUCAUCUUAUCAAAUCAAAGUCAGUGCUGUCCUGCUUGGAUGUUUCUUCUGGCUGCUAACCCACUGCCUCCCUCUUCACCUACACCCUCCUUGGGCAGCUUGGUUCUGAUCAAGAGUGCUCACUAGGCCUGGUGCAGUGGCUCACACCCAUAAUCCUAACACUUUGGGAGACGGAGGUGGGAGCAUCACUUGAGCUGAGGAGUUCAAGACCAGCCUGGGCAACAUACACAGACCACCUCCCUACUGCAAACUCUACAAAAGAAAGAAAGAAAUUAGCCAAGCAUGCUGGCAUGUACCUGUGGUCCAAGCUACUUAGGAGGCUGAGGUGGAAGGAUCGCUUAAAUCUGGGAGGUCAAAGCAGCAGGGAGCCAUGACAGUGUCACUGCACUCCAGCCUGGCUGACAGAGUGUGACUGUCUCAAAAAAAAAAAAAAAAAAGAUUGUUCAGUGCCUCCCACCCAGUUCUACAGCCUCAAAUCCACAUGCUUUGCUUUGAACUUCCAGCAACCCCUGGACAUUCACCAAAACCCACUUCCAGACCUGGGACUCCUUUCUCUUCCACUGCUGGUGUGAAUCUCUCCUUUCCUCUCCUCCCUCCCUCUGGAUUGCAGUUUGCAAUCCAGAUUAAUUCUGCCCAUUGUCUCAUUUGUAUCUCUGAGCACUUGGAUUUCAAUGUAACUAAUGUUUCUUUGCAAAUAUCUCCAUAAACUGUAUAUAUAUUCAUCUUUCUUUUUAUGUAAAUUCUUUGGAGAAUGAACUAGGCCUACCUAUUCCCAAAUGGGCCCCUCACCCUCAUUGCUUAUAUUAUUCCAUAAAUAAAUUAUUUUGUAAGCGAAUCAGGAGGGAGAGGAUUAUUUUUUCUUUUUCAUAAUUUUUUUAAAAAUAGAGAGAAGGUCUCACUAUGUUGCCCAGGCUGGUCUUGAACUCCUGGCCUCAAGCAUUCCUUCAGCCUCAGCCUCCCAAAAUGCUGGGAUUACAAGUGUGAGCCACCUCACCUGGCCAGGGGGGAUUCAGGAUAACAUAACAGCUGCUUUCUAGCCAAGCUGAGUUGAAUGGGGCCAGUAAUGGGGAAGAGGAGAAUUGAAGGAUAUGGGGAUAAUGUCCAGAUGCCGUGAGCCCCUGAGAAAGAUGCAGUGUCUUUGAAGAAAAGGCCUUAAUACAGAACCUAGAUGAGUCUGGA
RNAcentral lists this long non-coding RNA (1316 nucleotides) under Homo sapiens (human). Its description in RNAcentral is "HSALNT0199144". The record is from RNAcentral. Lineage: Eukaryota; Metazoa; Chordata; Mammalia; Primates; Hominidae.